AAUGAACGCUGGCGGCGUGCUUAACACAUGCAAGUCGCACGAGAACUCUUUAGCUUGCUAAAGAUAGUAAAGUGGCGCACGGGUGAGUAACGCGUGGGUAAUCUUCCUUCAAAUUGGGGAUAACUCGCCGAAAGGCGGGCUAAUACCGAAUAAUAUCUUUGAAGCCUCGGUCUUGAAGAUCAAAGGUGGCCUCUAUUUAUAAGCUACUGUUUGAAGAUGAGCCCGCGUACCAUUAGCUUGUUGGUAGGGUAACGGCCUACCAAGGCGACGAUGGUUAGCUGGUCUGAGAGGAUGAUCAGCCACACUGGAACUGACACACGGUCCAGACUCCUACGGGAGGCAG
This 343-nucleotide ribosomal RNA is filed under the name uncultured Pseudomonadota bacterium. RNAcentral's name for it is "bacterial SSU rRNA". It matches the Rfam family "Bacterial small subunit ribosomal RNA", at positions 29 to 351 of the family's 1533-position model. Lineage: Bacteria; Pseudomonadati; Pseudomonadota. The record is from RNAcentral.